RNAcentral lists this long non-coding RNA (490 nucleotides) under Malus domestica (apple). RNAcentral describes it as "long non-coding RNA (MDOM_LNC018620)". The record is from RNAcentral. Lineage: Eukaryota; Viridiplantae; Streptophyta; Magnoliopsida; Rosales; Rosaceae.
UAAGGUUUUUGAUGAUUUGUUUUCUUGAAUGAAAUUCUAUGAGGGUCACAUAGGGGGAAGCUAAUGUUUUUCAUGUUUUCUUUGUUUUGCUCGAGGACUAGCAAAAGCUAAGUGCGGGAGUAUUUGAUAAGCUCAUAUUUAUAUAUAUAUUUUACAUCAAAUUCACUUGUCUUUUCUUAGUUAGUUGCUUAUAUUUUUGAGCUAUUUACUUUGUUUUUGUGUUUUGUGGGAUUUGUCAAGCAAAUAAAAGAAAAAUAGCACAAGUUGGAUAUUAAGUGACAAAUUCGUCAAAACUGCCUGUGCAGGUCAGCUGACUUUGGAAGCAAGUUUCGAAAAGCUCAGAAUGAAUUAGAGAAUGAACCUUAUAUACUUAGAAAUCUACGGAUGUCUAUUUUCUGGAGCAUUUCGCGGAUUGUUAAUAGCAUUUUUGUAGAAGAAGUUAUGGCCGUUUUAACACUGAAAGGUUUCCAAGACGCUGUGCAGUUUGUAA